ACAGCUCCAAAGCCGCGAGGCUCACCACACACAGGAUCGCUCUCCGCGUCCUUUCUCGUGAGCGGGCUAAGGUCUGAGCAUUCUAGUCCCCCUCGAUCGACUCUCGCAGGGUCCAGCGUCAAGCACGCUGAGCAGCACACCAGAGAAACAGCGGGCAGUUUGUCGAUCCCAAGAUCAUCCGUUAACUUUAUCGGAUGGGAGGAUAAAAUUGCUUUGCUUUGGAAUAUGCUGCGGGGACCGGGCUUUUGCUUAUAUUGGAUUGCAUAACGUGCCUAUCGCUGGUUCCUGUGCCGCGGGGCGCACUUUGGUUGUAUCGGCGCGGCUAGCGGCUGCACUUAGCAAAUGAUAUCCGAGCGGUUUGUGCUUGCCAAUUUCUUCUGAGAUACCAACGUGCAUGCCUUGGGCGUCGGAUUUUGUUGCAUGUUCAAAAAUGCCGCUCGGAUUGCUACUUGUAUGCCGCGAUGCCGGCAGUCGAUUCCUUUGUCCGGGACCAGCACGAGGGCAAAGUCAUGCAUCCUAGAGCAUUUAUGUCCUUCAGUUCACUUCGUGGCUCGCUAUAUCUUCGGAUUAGCGCAACUCGAUUCAGACUACUCUGGAGCUGU
Molecule: RNase P RNA, 602 nt
Rfam family: Nuclear RNase P
About the family: Ribonuclease P (RNase P) is a ubiquitous endoribonuclease, found in archaea, bacteria and eukarya as well as chloroplasts and mitochondria. Its best characterised activity is the generation of mature 5'-ends of tRNAs by cleaving the 5'-leader elements of precursor-tRNAs. Cellular RNase Ps are ribonucleoproteins.